CAGGUUUUCCUUUCACGGGUAUACAAAUUACAUACACAAUCGUUAUUUCAAACAAUCCAAAGAGAAAAUGAAAUUCGUCUAAAACAAAAAUAUAUUAGUCUAUUACAAUAUACUACAGCCCAAAUUAACCUACAAUUACAACACAUAAUAUACUACUCUUUGCUGAUAUGCUUCACAACUUCGGACUUGGAUUCGCACUUCACCUGUUCAAAAAAUAAGAAUGAACAUAUAAGAAUAAGAAUGUGUACACAACAUCAAACAAUGGUCAAUGAGGGAUCCAGUAACUUAGAAGCAAGAAUUGACAGCAAAGAAAUGUACAUAAAUAGUAUGACUAACACUAACCAGUAUGUGUUUAUGGAGUGACUAAAAUGUUCUCACACUAGCUAGGAUUUUUCUUGCUGUAUAGUAUACUGACAUGUGCAACUCUAAUUAAAUUGAUCAUGGAAAUGAAAAGAAUUGUAAGAACGAGUUCAUUUAGAAUCCAGGCAUGUCAAAUUUUAAUCACGAGCAGAACAGAUCUAACAAACCAGACCAUUAUCAUCAUGCAUCAGGAUUUAUGGUUCUAGCAAAACAAUAAAGAGACGGAGAUACACGCAUCAAGCAUAUGAGCAACUAUAAUAAGAGGUCCAGAUGCAUGCAUGAGCACUUCUUAAUAUUUAUAUUCAUCAUCACAGCAACCUAUAACCACAUACGCUCAUUAUCUUAUAAAGCAACAUAUUAUUUUAUUAUCUUAUAAAGCAAUCAAAAACCACCUAUGCUCAUUAUCUUAUAAAGCAGCAUAUUGUUUUAAUAUUAAUUCAACAUACAAGGCAUGUAAUCAAGUGGAUUAUAUUAUCUUAUAAAGCACCAUAUUAUUUUAUUAGUACAUGGCAGGGUGUAUACCAAAUGAUCACUACGGUGAUACAAGAUCACACAUGGUUAAUUCAAAGAUGGAGGAAGCAAAAUGAACGGGAAAAUGACCCCCUUGGCUCUCCACAAGGUUCAGGUCCACAUCAACUUGAG
This 1002-nucleotide long non-coding RNA is filed under the name Hordeum vulgare. RNAcentral's name for it is "long non-coding RNA (HVUL_LNC000731)". Lineage: Eukaryota; Viridiplantae; Streptophyta; Magnoliopsida; Poales; Poaceae. The record is from RNAcentral.